This 425-nucleotide ribosomal RNA is filed under the name uncultured bacterium. RNAcentral describes it as "partial 16S ribosomal RNA". It matches the Rfam family "Bacterial small subunit ribosomal RNA", at positions 354 to 796 of the family's 1533-position model. The record is from RNAcentral.
GUGGGGAAUCUUAGACAAUGGGCGCAAGCCUGAUCUAGCCAUGCCGCGUGAGCGAUGAAGGCCUUAGGGUUGUAAAGCUCUUUCGCUGGGGAAGAUAAUGACUGUACCCCAAGAAGAAGCCCCGGCUAACUCCGUGCCAGCAGCCGCGGUAAUACGGAGGGGGCUAGCGUUGUUCGGAAUUACUGGGCGUAAAGCGCACGUAGGCGGACUGGAAAGUCAGGGGUGAAAUCCCGGGGCUCAACCCCGGGACUGCCUUUGAAACUCCCAGUCUUGAGUUCGAGAGAGGUGAGUGGAAUUCCGAGUGUAGAGGUGAAAUUCGUAGAUAUUCGGAGGAACACCAGUGGCGAAGGCGGCUCACUGGCUCGAUACUGACGCUGAGGUGCGAAAGCGUGGGGAGCAAACAGGAUUAGAAACCCUGGUAGUCC